UACGUAGGGUGCAAGCGUUGUUCGGAAUUACUGGGCGUAAAGGGAGCGUAGGCGGGUUCGUAAGUUAGGAGUUUAAUACAUGGGCUCAACCCAUGGCUUGCUUUUAAGACUGCGAAUCUUGAGUAUGGGAGAGGGUGAUGGAAUUCCAGGUGUAGCGGUGGAAUGCGUAGAUAUCUGGAAGAACACCAGUAGCGAAGGCGGUCGCCUGGCCCAAUACUGACGCUGAUGCUCGAAAGCUAGGGGAG
This 245-nucleotide ribosomal RNA is filed under the name uncultured bacterium. RNAcentral describes it as "partial 16S ribosomal RNA". It matches the Rfam family "Bacterial small subunit ribosomal RNA", at positions 524 to 768 of the family's 1533-position model. The record is from RNAcentral.